GAUGAACGCUGGCGGCGUGCCUAAUACAUGCAAGUCGAACGCUGGAGAUCUAGCUUGCUAGAUCGAAGGAGUGGCGAACGGGUGAGUAAUACAUAAGCAACCUACCCACGAAGACUGGGAUAAUCUCUGGAAACGGGGACUAAUACCGGAUAGGUAAUCGGAAGGCAUCUUCUGGUUAUUAAAGGUUAAAAACACUGGUGGAUGGGCUUAUGGCGCAUUAGUUAGUUGGUGAGGUAACGGCCCACCAAGACGAUGAUGCGUAGCCGGCCUGAGAGGGUGAACGGCCACAUUGGGACUGAGACACGGCCCAGACUCCUACGGGAGGCAGCAGUAGGGAAUUUUCGGCAAUGGGGGCAACCCUGACCGAGCAACGCCGCGGGAGUGAAGACGGCCUUCGGGUUGUAAAGCUCUGUUGUAAGGGAAGAACGGUAGAUAGAGAAUAUCUAAGUGACGGUACCUUACCAGAAAGCCACGGCUAACUACGUG
This 486-nucleotide ribosomal RNA is filed under the name uncultured bacterium. RNAcentral describes it as "partial 16S ribosomal RNA". It matches the Rfam family "Bacterial small subunit ribosomal RNA", at positions 28 to 507 of the family's 1533-position model. The record is from RNAcentral.